GCCAGUGUGGUGUAGUGGUUAGAGUUCUGGACUAGGACCUGGGAGACCAGGGUUCAAAUCCCUGCUCAGCCA
RNAcentral lists this transfer RNA (72 nucleotides) under Podarcis lilfordi (Lilford's wall lizard). RNAcentral's name for it is "tRNA.Pro". Lineage: Eukaryota; Metazoa; Chordata; Lepidosauria; Squamata; Lacertidae. The record is from RNAcentral.